This 64-nucleotide transfer RNA is filed under the name Cavia porcellus (domestic guinea pig). It matches the Rfam family "tRNA". Rfam says of the family: Transfer RNA (tRNA) molecules are approximately 80 nucleotides in length. Lineage: Eukaryota; Metazoa; Chordata; Mammalia; Rodentia; Caviidae. The record is from Rfam by way of RNAcentral.
GGGGAUUUAGCUCAUUGGCAUAAGUGCCUGCCUGGCAAGCACGAGGUUGUAGGUUCAAUCCCCA